This 731-nucleotide ribosomal RNA is filed under the name uncultured Corynebacterium sp. Its description in RNAcentral is "bacterial SSU rRNA". It matches the Rfam family "Bacterial small subunit ribosomal RNA", at positions 28 to 776 of the family's 1533-position model. The record is from RNAcentral. Lineage: Bacteria; Bacillati; Actinomycetota; Actinomycetes; Mycobacteriales; Corynebacteriaceae.
GACGAACGCUGGCGCGUGCUUACACAUGCAAGUCGAACGGAAAGGCCCUGCUUGCAGGGUACUCGAGUGCGAACGGGUGAGUAACACGUGGGUGAUCUGCCCUGCACUUCGGGAUAAGCCUGGGAAACUGAGUCUAAUACCGGAUAGGAGCCAUUUUUAGUGUGAUGGUUGGAAAGUUUUUUUCGGUGUAGGAUGAGCUCGCGGCCUAUCAGCUUGUUGGUGGGGUAAUGGCCUACCAAGGCGGCGACGGGUAGCCAGCCUGAGAGGGUGGACGGCCACAUUGGGACUGAGAUACGGCCCAGACUCCUACGGGAGGCAGCAGUGGGGAAUAUUGCACAAUGGGCGCAAGCCUGAUGCAGCGACGCCGCGUGGGGGAUGACGGGCUUCGGGUUGUAAACUCCUUUCGCUAGGGACGAAGCUUUUUGUGACGGUACCUAGAUAAGAAGCACCGGCUAACUACGUGCCAGCAGCCGCGGUAAUACGUAGGGUGCGAGCGUUGUCCGGAAUUACUGGGCGUAAAGGGCUCGUAGGUGGUUUGUCGCGUCGUCUGUGAAAUUCCGGGGCUUAACUCCGGGCGUGCAGGCGAUACGGGCAUAACUUGAGUACUGUAGGGGUAACUGGAAUUCCUGGUGUAGCGGUGAAAUGCGCAGAUAUCAGGAGGAACACCGAUGGCGAAGGCAGUUACUGGGCAGUACUGACGCUGAGGAGCGAAAGCAUGGGUAGCGAACAGG